This 497-nucleotide ribosomal RNA is filed under the name uncultured bacterium. RNAcentral's name for it is "partial 16S ribosomal RNA". It matches the Rfam family "Bacterial small subunit ribosomal RNA", at positions 28 to 507 of the family's 1533-position model. The record is from RNAcentral.
GAUGAACGCUGGCGGCGUGCCUAAUACAUGCAAGUCGAGCGGACGGACGAGAAGCUUGCUUCUCUGAUGUUAGCGGCGGACGGGUGAGUAACACGUGGAUAACCUACCUAUAAGACUGGGAUAACUUCGGGAAACCGGAGCUAAUACCGGAUGAUAUUUUGAACCGCAUGGUUCAAAAGUGAAAGACGGUCUUGCUGUCACUUAUAGAUGGAUCCGCGCUGCAUUAGCUAGUUGGUAAGGUAACGGCUUACCAAGGCAACGAUGCAUAGCCGACCUGAGAGGGUGAUCGGCCACACUGGAACUGAGACACCGACCAGACUCCUACGGGAGGCCGCAGUAGGGAAUCUUCCGCAAUGGUCGAAAGCCUGACGGAGCAACGCCGCGUGAGUGAUGAAGGUCUUCCGAUCGUAAAACUCUGUUAUUAGGGAAGAACAUAUGUGUAAGUAACUGUGCACAUCUUGACGGUACCUAAUCAGAAAGCCACGGCUAACUACGUG